Molecule: non-coding RNA, 278 nt
Organism: Elaeis guineensis (African oil palm)
Lineage: Eukaryota; Viridiplantae; Streptophyta; Magnoliopsida; Arecales; Arecaceae
Source: RefSeq, a predicted model, not a curated record
UGGCGAAGAUGGUUUACUGAAGCAUUAUGCAUAGCUGGUUACUGGAAUACGAGAUGUUUAUGUAGUUUUGGUUUGAUGUUUCAGGGACUUAAUUUUAGCAUUAUUGAUAAAUUCCUCUCAGUGGACCAAAUUUCAUUAUUGGAAGGGCUGUUGUUAUCCAUGCCGAUCCUGAUGACCUCAAAAAGAGAUGCUGGAACAGUCAGCUCUCAUCCACUAGCUGUUGGAGAGGAUGUACAGGAGUAGGAGAAAGAUGAAGAGGAUGAUGGAAGAGGAUGAGG